AACACAAGGCUCAUUUCCCUCCCUCUCCCAAAAAGAAGGUAAUAGUAAUAUCUUCAAAUCUAUUCAUCAAAAUUAAUCUAGCCAAGCCGAACAUUUAGUGGAUGUUCUUGGUCGGCUCUUGGGAAGAUGAAUUCACACUUAUACGGGAGUCCAUGGGCUCUUAAGACGGUGAGACAAGGCUCGAUAUUUGGGGUUUUAAAAAUGAUAACGCAUUUGUUUUGAGUUCCCAAA
Molecule: unclassified non-coding RNA, 231 nt
Filed under: Hevea brasiliensis (rubber tree)
Lineage: Eukaryota; Viridiplantae; Streptophyta; Magnoliopsida; Malpighiales; Euphorbiaceae
Source: RNAcentral